GACGAACGCUGGCGGCGUGCCUAAUACAUGCAAGUUGAGCGAUGAAGAUUGGUGCUUGCUCCAAUUUGAAGAGCAGCGAACGGGUGAGUAACGCGUGGGGAAUCUGCCUUUGAGCGGGGGACAACAUUUGGAAACGAAUGCUAAUACCGCAUAACAACUUUAAACAUAAGUUUUAAGUUUGAAAGAUGCAAUUGCAUCACUCAAAGAUGAUCCCGCGUUGUAUUAGCUAGUUGGUGAGGUAAAGGCUCACCAAGGCGAUGAUACAUAGCCGACCUGAGAGGGUGAUCGGCCACAUUGGGACUGAGACACGGCCCAAACUCCUACGGGAGGCAGCAGUAGGGAAUCUUCGGCAAUGGACGAAAGUCUGACCGAGCAACGCCGCGUGAGUGAAGAAGGUUUUCGGAUCGUAAAACUCUGUUGGUAGAGAAGAACGUUGGUGAGAGUGGAAAGCUCAUCAAGUGACGGUAACUACACAGAAAGGGACGGCUAACUACGUG
Molecule: ribosomal RNA, 497 nt
Filed under: uncultured bacterium
Lineage: Bacteria
Description: partial 16S ribosomal RNA
Rfam family: Bacterial small subunit ribosomal RNA
Source: RNAcentral